CCCUUAGAUGUCCUGGGCCGCACGCGCGCUACACUGAACGGAUCAGCGCGUUUUCCCUUCCCGAGAGGGACGGGUAACCUGCUGAACCCCGUUCGUGGUAGGGAUCGGGGCUUGCAAUUAUUCCCCGUGAACCAGGAAUGCCCAGUAAGUGCAAGUCAUAAGCUUGCGUUGAUUACGUCCCUGCCCUUUGUACACACCGCCCGUCGCUACUACCGAUUGAACGUUUUAGUGAGGUACUCGGACUGAGCCUCAGAAGAUUCACGUCUUUUGUGCUGCUCGGGAAGAUUCCCAAACUUGAGCGUUUAGAGGAAGGAGAAGUCGUAACA
RNAcentral lists this ribosomal RNA (326 nucleotides) under uncultured eukaryote. RNAcentral describes it as "partial 18S ribosomal RNA". It matches the Rfam family "Eukaryotic small subunit ribosomal RNA", at positions 1470 to 1796 of the family's 1831-position model. The record is from RNAcentral.